Molecule: long non-coding RNA, 1527 nt
Organism: Centrocercus urophasianus (Greater sage-grouse)
Lineage: Eukaryota; Metazoa; Chordata; Aves; Galliformes; Phasianidae
Exons: 3
Source: RefSeq, a predicted model, not a curated record
CCCGCCGCUCCGUGAGGACGUCGGCACCGGACCGGGGUGCAGCUGCCGGGUAUCCCGAGUCCGUUGCCCGCUCGAAGAAGAAAGCAGCACACGGGAACCGGCAUGCGCUUGGUUUCCUUUCUCCUGCUGCAAAAUCCAGGGAAGUUGUGUUUUCGUGUUUAGCGGCUGUGAGUAACUUUGACCGAAGCAUCCUUCCUUCCUGCCAGUUCUCAAGGAAGGAAUCUCUCCCUUUGGUCUCCGUGCUGACGGAAACUCAUACGGGCUUGGUUACUUCAGCCACUGCUAGGGGAGAGGGGGCAGCGCUGAGCUCUGCUCUCUGUAACAGCGACAGGGCCCGAGGGAGCUGUGUGAGGGGAGGGGGUCAGGACACGGUCUGCACCAGAGGGCUGUGGGCAUGAAAUGCCCAGGGCAGAGAGCACGGCCCAGAGCUGCCAGAAUUCAAGGAGCGUUUGAUAUCACUCUCAGACAUAAGGUCGGAUCCAUAUGUCUCUUCCAACUUAGGAUAUUCUGCGAUUCACCUUUGAAUUUCAAGGUAUUGAACAGCCUCAAACCAUAUGCUCCACUAGCAGUGAACUGCCUCACGCUGACACAGCUUGUUCUUCCUGAGACAAGCUAGCGUUACCUCACUUUUUAUAUUGAUAUAAGUAUAUCUGUACCAGAAAAGCUCAGUGAAUUAACUUUACUACUUCUGGCUACAGAUCACAUAAAAAUAAAUAGUUUCAUUAGUAGUCCUGACAUAGAAAUGUAGCACUUUUUUGGAAACAAAGCAUGAGGUGAAAUUGAAACAGCUGUAUUAUGUGAGAAAGUCCUUGUUUGCUUAUAUAUUCAACUGGAACAUAUACAUCAUAUAUAGAGCUACAUAGUAAUCAAAUUCAAGCACAUAUGUAUAAAAAUAAUGUACAAAUGAAAGACUGUAUAUUUUGCACAUUUCCGUGUCAAGCUCUGUAUAAACAAUUAGGUUCCAGAAGUGCCUAUUAUGUAAGUAGCUUACAUAAAUAAUGUAAUUGGUGACUCACCUAAUACCUGGCAAUGUGUUCUGUUGAAUAAAAGUCCAAAAUUUAUCUAGAAGAUUAAUUAAAAGAAAAUGUCUAAAAGCUGCAAUUUGUGGGUCAGAUGUAAGACAGUCUGUGUUUUUUUUUUUUUAAAUCCACUACUGAGGGGACUUUCCCUUCCUAAGGGGCUGUUCAUAUUCCUUUGCUUGAGCCCCAUAUGAACACAGAUUUCACCACCAUCCAAUAAUCAUCUGAAAAUUGCCUUCAUAGGUGAAGAUUGCUUUGAGAGACAUUACUGGAAGUUACCCAUAGCCCUGCUUUAAUUUGUGCUAACAGCAAGCUUGCCCUGCAGUCCAUGUUCCCUUUAACUCCUGCAGUGCCUCCACUCUGUUUGCACGACAGGGAGAGCAGCAGCCAAGCAGCGUGAGUUCUAGGCAUUUGGAAGGGAAAGUCCUGGAGGUCUGUAUGGGAACUGCUGAGUCACGGCCUGAACCUCUGAUUAAUCACCUGAGGUGAGCCUUGAGUCAGCCAGAGG